GAUGAACGCUGGCGGCGUGCUUAACACAUGCAAGUCGAGCGAACGGACGAGAAGCUUGCUUCUCUGAUGUUAGCGGCGGGGGGGUGAGUAACACGUGGAUAACCUACCUCUAAGUUUGGGAUAAUCUCGGGAAACCGGAGCUAAUACCGUAUAAUCUUUUGAUCCGCGUGGUUCAAAAGUGAAAGUCGGUCGUUCUGUCACUUAUAGAUGGAUCCCCGCUGCAUCAGCUAGUUGGUGAGGUAAAAGCUUACCAAGGCAACGAUGCAUAGCCGACCUGAGAGGGUGAUAGACCGCACGGGAACUGAGACACGGUCAAGGCUCCUACGGGAUGCAGCAGAAGCGUAUCUUACGCAGUGGGCGAAAGCCUUACGGAGCAACGCGACGUGAGUGGUGAAGGUCUUCGGAUCGUAAAACUCUGUUAUUGGUGGAGAACAUAUGUGUCAGUAACUGUGCACAUCGUGACGGUACCUAAUCAAAAAGCCCCGGCUAACUACGUG
This 497-nucleotide ribosomal RNA is filed under the name uncultured bacterium. Its description in RNAcentral is "partial 16S ribosomal RNA". It matches the Rfam family "Bacterial small subunit ribosomal RNA", at positions 28 to 507 of the family's 1533-position model. The record is from RNAcentral.